GUCAACUUCUUUGGCACACUCAGUAACUA
RNAcentral lists this non-coding RNA (29 nucleotides) under Rattus norvegicus (Norway rat). The record is from RNAcentral. Lineage: Eukaryota; Metazoa; Chordata; Mammalia; Rodentia; Muridae.